Molecule: non-coding RNA, 1365 nt
Organism: Pimephales promelas (fathead minnow)
Lineage: Eukaryota; Metazoa; Chordata; Actinopteri; Cypriniformes; Leuciscidae
Source: RefSeq, a predicted model, not a curated record
AUGUAACCCAACGACUGGGUUUGUCCAUAUUUGACCCAAAUUUGGGUUGAAACAACUCAGCAUUUUUUUUAGAAUGUAGUGUUGGCCCUGAUGCGGGCCAGAACCAGGUCAGACGUGGGCUAAAUGUGGGUCAGAUGUGGGAUAGAUGUGGGCUAGAUAUGGGCUAGAUGUGUGCUAGUUGUGGGCUAGAUGUGGGUCAGAUAUGGGCUAAAUGUGGGUCGGAUGUGGGCCAGAUCCGGGUUAGAUGUGGGCCAGAUCCGGGUCAUAUGUGGGCUAGAUGUGGGCUAAAUGUGGGUCAGAUGUGGGCUAGAUGUGGGCCAGAUCCGGGUCAUAUGUGGGCCGGGUCAGAUGUAGGUUAGAUGUUGGCCAGAUCCGGGUCAGAUGUUGGCCAGAUCCGGGUCAUAUGUGGGCCGGAUCCGGGUCAGAUGUAGGUUAGAUGUUGGCCAGAUCCGGGUCAGAUGUUGGCCAGAUCCGGGUCAUAUGUGGGCCGGAUCCGGGUCAGAUGUAGGUUAGAUGUUGGCCAGAUCCGGGUCAGAUGUUGGCCAGAUCCGGGUCAUAUGUGGGCCGGAUCCGGGUCAGAUGUAGGUUAGAUGUUGGCCAGAUCCGGGUCAGAUGUUGGCCAGAUCCAGGCUAGAUGUGGGCCGGAUCCGGGUCAGAUGUAGGUUAGAUGUGGGCCAGAUCCGGGUCAGAUGUGGGUCAGAUGUGGGCUAGAUGUGGGCCAGAUACUGGCUUUCUGUACAACGGAAGUGUGCGGUGAUUCAUCCUGCCAAAUAUAGUGCACGAGUUUAUGAUACUAAUGUGCUGAUUUUGUUUGUCCUUUUUGGUAUUUGGCUUAUAAAUCACUCUCCACUUUCUCUGUGCGGUAAAAACAUAAUCUGUUGUGUUUCAUGGGAGAACAGAAAUAAUACAUGGCAAAAACAAGAGGGUGAGUAAACCUGUAACUAUUGUAGGAAUAAUUCACCAAAUUGAUAAAAAUCAGUUUAAUUCUCCCAAAAAGAAAUGCAUUAAAGUUGUUGAAUGUGGUCACGAUCAAACUCUCUUUAUCAAUGCUCAUUUUAUAUCCGUUGUGAAGUGAAAUCGGUGGUGGAUCACUGUUUUGGAUCACCAAGAUCCCAUCAUGACGUUUCCAGAUCACAAAACACACCUCACAUACUUAGAAACACAUGAGAAGCUCAAGACCGUAAUGUAUAAUUUUGCGUUGUUUGAUGUACAGCUGAUUUCGGUCUGUACCAUCUCAUACGUGUCCAUCUCACUUUUUUUCCCCUUGAAUGUUCAUUACACAUUUAUUUUUUUGCAUUGUAUGUAGUAAAUGACAUGUUUUGGAAAAAAAAUCACAAAUAAACAGCUGUAUAUACUGAUGCAUAA